Molecule: ribosomal RNA, 271 nt
Filed under: uncultured marine eukaryote
Lineage: Eukaryota
Description: partial 18S ribosomal RNA
Rfam family: Eukaryotic small subunit ribosomal RNA
Source: RNAcentral
GUUAAAAGCUCGUAGUUGGAUUUCGGAGUGGGCUAGUUGGUCCGCCGCAAGUGUGUUACUGACUGGUUUGCUCUUCUUCGCAAAGACUGCGUGUGCUCUUUGUUGAGUGUGCGUAGGAUUUACGACGUUUACUUUGAAAAAAUUAGAGUGUUCAAAGCAGGCUAUUGCUUGAAUACAUGAGCAUGGAAUAAUGGAAUAGGACUUUGGUCCCAUUUUGUUGGUUUCUAGGACCGAAGUAAUGAUUAAGAGGGACAAUUGGGGGCAUCCGUAU